This 72-nucleotide small nucleolar RNA is filed under the name Mastacembelus armatus (zig-zag eel). The record is from RNAcentral. Lineage: Eukaryota; Metazoa; Chordata; Actinopteri; Synbranchiformes; Mastacembelidae.
UAUGGAAGUGAUGAGUUUUUAUUACCGCCCCAGUCUGAAGAUUCAUGACUGAUUGGUACCCCUCUGAUCAAC